GUGGGGAAUUUUGGACAAUGGGCGCAAGCCUGAUCCAGCAAUGCCGCGUGCAGGAAGAAGGCCUUCGGGUUGUAAACUGCUUUUGUACGGAACGAAACGGUCCUGGUUAAUACCUGGGGCUAAUGACGGUACCGUAAGAAUAAGCACCGGCUAACUACGUGCCAGCAGCCGCGGUAAUACGUAGGGUGCGAGCGUUAAUCGGAAUUACUGGGCGUAAAGCGUGCGCAGGCGGUGCUGUAAGACAGGCGUGAAAUCCCCGGGCUCAACCUGGGAAUUGCGCUUGUGACUGCAGUGCUGGAGUACGGCAGAGGGGGAUGGAAUUCCGCGUGUAGCAGUGAAAUGCGUAGAUAUGCGGAGGAACACCGAUGGCGAAGGCAAUCCCCUGGGCCUGCACUGACGCUCAUGCACGAAAGCGUGGGGAGCAAACAGGAUUAGAUACCCCGGUAGUCC
This 450-nucleotide ribosomal RNA is filed under the name uncultured bacterium. Its description in RNAcentral is "partial 16S ribosomal RNA". It matches the Rfam family "Bacterial small subunit ribosomal RNA", at positions 354 to 796 of the family's 1533-position model. The record is from RNAcentral.